GACGAACGCUGGCGGCGUGCUUAACACAUGCAAGUCGAACGGUAAGGCCCUUCGGGUACGACGAGUGGCGAACGGGUGAAUAACACGUGGUGAUCUGCCCUGCACUUCGGGAUAAGCCUGGGAAACUGGGUCUAAUACCGGAUAGGACCAUGGACUUCACGGUUUGUGGUGGAAAGCUUUUGCGGUGUGGGUUGGGCCCGCGGCCUAUCAGCUUGUUGGUGGGGUAAUGGCCUACCAAGGCGACGACGGGUAGCCGGCCUGAGAGGGUGUCCGGCCACACUGGGACUGAGAUACGGCCCAGACUCCUACGGGAGGCAGCAGUGGGGAAUAUUGCACAAUGGGCGCAAGCCUGAUGCAGCGACGCCGCG
Molecule: ribosomal RNA, 368 nt
Filed under: uncultured bacterium
Lineage: Bacteria
Description: bacterial SSU rRNA
Rfam family: Bacterial small subunit ribosomal RNA
Source: RNAcentral